Molecule: long non-coding RNA, 2900 nt
Organism: Alosa sapidissima (American shad)
Lineage: Eukaryota; Metazoa; Chordata; Actinopteri; Clupeiformes; Clupeidae
Exons: 2
Source: RefSeq, a predicted model, not a curated record
UCUCUCUCUCUCUCUCUCUCUCUCUCUCUCCCUCCCUCCCUCUUCCCUCCAUUCUUUCUUUAAGUCUGCCCCCUGCUGAGGAAGUGACACUCAGACGUAAAUACCCCGUCUCUCCCCGUCCUCCCUGCGGCUGGCUGACCUUCUUUCAGUCUCCUUUUCUCCCUCUGCUUUCCUCUCCCGUCUUCCCUGUUUCCUUUUCUCCCUCUGCUUUCCUCUCCCGUCUUCCCUGUUUCCUUUCCUCCCUCUGCUUUCCUCUCCCGUCUUCCCUGUUUCCUUUUCACCCCUCCGUCAGUCCCUCUUCUUCGCUCUGUCACUCCAUCUUCAUCUUUCUUUUUUGUUCACUCCUCUCCGCUCGUUAUCCGUUUCCCCUUCAUAAUCUAAACCCUCUCAGUUUGCACAUUCAUCCUUCUACCUUCUUACUCUCUCUCUCUCUUCCCUUCUUUUCACUCCUCCACUCAACAUUAUCAUUUAUAUGUUCCCUUUUGUUAUACCCCCCCCCCCCUUCCAGACGACCUUUAGAAGAAUUUGCAUUGGGGACGUAUUUUAGGGUUGCGCAGCCGUUAGUAAUUUUUCAUGACAUUUUUGCUUGAGUAAUGGUAAAUACUUCUCCCCAGUCAUUUCUUUGCCUUCCUCACAGAUGCCUUACAAGGCUGCAGUUAUCCUCAGAAAGUAAUAAAAGAGCUUACUUCAUAAUAAUUCUCUCUCUCUCUCCCUCCACACCUCCCUCUCUUCUCCCCCUUUUCUCUUUCUUUCAGCAACAGCUGGACCAGAGCGAGACCAAGGAACCCCGGCCCCUCGCAGUGGAGUUGAUCCUGUGAAGAGCACCUCAUGUCCUGCUCUCCUCCUUUUCUCUCUGCUCGUAGUUCUCCUGUCUGUCUGAUUUCCCUGCCCCAUCCACUCACACUUACACAAAGAAAGAGGGAGGAUUCACAAGUUGUGUGUAAAAGAAAUCUCUGCAGUUCCUGUAGUGGCACUAAUCUCUGGCUCCAUUUCCUCUCAUCUUUUCUCUUUGUCCACUGACUCUUCUCUUCUCUUCUCUCUCUCCAUUCUGCCCUCUCUUCUCUCCUCUCCUCUCCCCUUUUCUCUGACUUCAGAGUCCUCUGUAACAGACCGACUCUAAUCUGGCCUUCAAAGAACACCAGUCUUGUGUCUGACCAGUUUGUGUUUAAUCACUCCUCAAUCAUAGAUGGCUUUUCUUCCUGUCUUUGUAGUUUUCUUCCUCUCCCUCUCUCUCUCUCUCUCCUUCCCUCUUUCUGUUAAAUGUUUCCCCCUCUACCCCCCCCUCUGUUGUUGCUGUACAUAAUCACCAAACUGAGCCAAAGAGGAAAGAAGUGGACCGCGAACUCUGACCUCUCACCCUGACCUCCUCAAACACUACUGAGUCAACCAUCAGACACUGUGGCUGACUUUGUUUUUUGUUAUUGUUUUUUUUUCUACCAGCUUUUUUCCCUUCUUAGUGGACUUUGUUUAGGUUCUGGCAUUGUUUUUGAAGAGGUCUCUACAAAAUGGAAAUGACCUAAAUACUGAAGUGGAGGAACAUUUAUUCAUCCAGCUGUGUAAUUCUGACUGAGACGUGCACAAGAUGGCCUGUUUUGAGUAACACCUCUUGGACAGGAUGUCAGGAUCUCUAAACAUGGCCCACUCCGGGAGAUCUCAAGGGUCUCAUGGACUGUCCAGCAUUUAACAGGAUUCCUCUGGAGUAAAUUGGAUUUCUCUGAAAUGACCUGGAUUUAUCUGGAAUAGACUAGAUUUUUUUAGGAAUAAUCUGAAAAAUAAUCUGGAGUAACCUGAAUUUGACCUUGCUGGAAAUGACACGAUUGACCCACUGAUUGGAUUUCUAAAGAGACAAGCUGUUACUAUUCCCUUGGUUUCACCCCAGAUCAGUCCCCAGAUCAUCACAUCUUACAAACCAAAUUCCAGUACUGAAGAAUAUGAUUGGUUUAAUACUUACCCUCAUCUUUACAAUGGAUAACUGAAUAUGGUUAGAUAUUUCUGAGCACUUAUCCCUGUUUAUCCAGUCAAAUUAAUAUUUUACUUGCUGCAUUCUUUUAUUUUUAAUUGUGGUGUUUAGUUAGCUGUUCCUUCUGAGCUUUUUUACAUCCCAGAAAAGCGAUUGUGUUGUUGCCCUGUAUAAAAGAUGGUGUAAGAUGGUGAAAAAAAAGCUGACAGCGCAUUGCUGGUACUUUCCAAAUUUUGAUACGUUUUGUAUAAUAAUACUUGUUUGGUAAAAUAAUUUAAAAUAUUCAGAGAUAGAAUUUAUUUUUACACAACAGAAGGGUUUGUAGUUAUAAUCAUCUGAAACUGUUGUUAUAGCUCACAGAGUAGUGUAUGUCUUUCUAGAUAUAGCUUUGUGAAUUAUUAGUGUGUCUCCCAUAUUUUUUCAUUUUGUUUUGAUAAACAAAAAUAUGAUAGAAAAAUAUGUAAAAUUAAAUCACUUAGUUUUGACAACUAAAUUGUUGAUUAUGAUUAUAUUCUCAUUUAACAGUACAGAGCGGUUCUGUUAAUUGAAGUAAAUUAAGGUUUUGGAAUUGUGUGAUAAAAUCAAGGUUUAAAAAUAUAUAAAUGGAUUAUAUACAAUCAUAUGGUUACUAGAAACAAAACAAAAAACUUUUUUAUUUACGGCCAUGUCAUUUUCUAUUUUUUGUCUAUGUUUUGUAAAUAUUUCCCUCCUCCAGAUGCUGAAAGGGAGGUUCUGAUAUUUAUGGAAUUCUAGAAUCAGAGUGGAUUUCACUCUGGGAGCACAGUACAAUCAGUUCAUAGAGGAAUCAACUUUUUUUUAUACUGGACAAUUGUGUUUUUGUUUGUUUUUCACAUUUUAGUGAAGAAUUUAGCAUCUUCUAUGAAGAACUGCGGUCUGUGUUUAUAAGGCAAAAAGAACAAAAUAAAAGCUAUGACUUGUA